This 421-nucleotide ribosomal RNA is filed under the name uncultured bacterium. RNAcentral's name for it is "partial 16S ribosomal RNA". It matches the Rfam family "Bacterial small subunit ribosomal RNA", at positions 360 to 773 of the family's 1533-position model. The record is from RNAcentral.
AAUAUUGGACAAUGGGGGCAACUCUGAUCGAGCCAUGCUGCGUGUGUGAAGAAGCUCUUCGGAGUGUAAAGCACUUUAAGGUGGGAGGAAGGGCUUUAGGGUAAUACGCUGAAGUUGUGACGUUACCAACAGAAUAAGCACCGGCUAACUCUGUUCCAGCAGCCGCGGUAAUACAGAGGGUGCAAGGGUUAAGCGGAAUUACUAGGCGUAAAGCGCGCGUAGGUGGUUCAGUAAGAUGGGUGUGAAAUCCCCGGGCUUAACCUGGGAACUGCUUUCAUAACUGCUGAGCUAGAGUACGGUAGGGGGUAGUGGAAUUUCCUGUGUAGCGGUGAAAUGCGUAGAUAUAGGAAGGAACACCAGUGGCGAAGGCGACUACCUGGACUGAUACUGACACUGAGGUGCGAAAGCGUGGGGAGCAAAC